RNAcentral lists this ribosomal RNA (496 nucleotides) under uncultured bacterium. Its description in RNAcentral is "partial 16S ribosomal RNA". It matches the Rfam family "Bacterial small subunit ribosomal RNA", at positions 355 to 842 of the family's 1533-position model. The record is from RNAcentral.
UGGGGAAUAUUGCACAAUGGGCGCAAGCCUGAUGCAGCCAUGCCGCGUGUGUGAAGAAGGCCUUCGGGUUGUAAAGCACUUUCAGCGAGGAGGAAGGUGGUGAACUUAAUACGUUCAUCAAUUGACGUUACUCGCAGAAGAAGCACCGGCUAACUCCGUGCCAGCAGCCGCGGUAAUACGGAGGGUGCAAGCGUUAAUCGGAAUUACUGGGCGUAAAGCGCACGCAGGCGGUUUGUUAAGUCAGAUGUGAAAUCCCCGGGCUCAACCUGGGAACUGCAUUUGAAACUGGCAAGCUAGAGUCUCGUAGAGGGGGGUAGAAUUCCAGGUGUAGCGGUGAAAUGCGUAGAGAUCUGGAGGAAUACCGGUGGCGAAGGCGGCCCCCCUGGACGAAGACUGACGCUCAGGUGCGAAAGCGUGGGGCAGCAAACAGGAUUAGAUACCCCGGUAGUCACGCUGUAAACGAUGUCGAUUUGGAGGUUGUGCCCUUGAGGCGUGG